Molecule: long non-coding RNA, 221 nt
Organism: Mauremys reevesii (Reeves's turtle)
Lineage: Eukaryota; Metazoa; Chordata; Testudines; Geoemydidae
Exons: 3
Source: RefSeq, a predicted model, not a curated record
GAACACAAAGCAGUGCUUUAAAAUAGCUUCACAGCUAUACCUUUAAAAUAGUAUACAGGAGGAGUCAGCGUCUGAAGAAAAGAGUUCUAAAGACUCCCUACUUUGCAGCAGGACUUGGAUGUUUGGCAAAGUGAUACUUCUGGGUCAAGAAAAGCCCUUUACUGUCCCUGUGGAUCUGUCUCUGUUCAGAAUUGCCUCUUCUGAUCCUACCUCAUUUUCAC